Molecule: transfer RNA, 73 nt
Filed under: Bos taurus (domestic cattle)
Lineage: Eukaryota; Metazoa; Chordata; Mammalia; Artiodactyla; Bovidae
Also listed under: 2 other names
Rfam family: tRNA
About the family: Transfer RNA (tRNA) molecules are approximately 80 nucleotides in length.
Source: Rfam by way of RNAcentral
UCCCUGGUGGUCCAGUGGUUAAGACUCUGCACUUUAAAUGCAAGGAGCAUGAGUUCAACCCCUAGUCAGGGAA